AAGUCGUAACAAGGUUUCCGUAGGUGAACCUGCGGAAGGAUCAUUAUUGAAUAAACCUGAUGUGGUUGUUGCUGGCUCUCUAGGGAGCAUGUGCACGCCCGUCAUCUUUAUAUUUCCACCUGUGCACCUUUUGUAGACCCAGAAGGCUUGAGCAAUCGAGUCGUUUGGGCCUAUGUCUUAUCAUAUACCCUAUAGUAUGUAUUAGAAUGUAUCAGUGGGCUUCGUGCCUAUAAACACUAUACAACUUUCAGCAACGGAUCUCUUGGCUCUC
This 271-nucleotide unclassified non-coding RNA is filed under the name Psilocybe inquilina. Its description in RNAcentral is "partial internal transcribed spacer region". The stretch from base 1 to 46 matches the Rfam family "Eukaryotic small subunit ribosomal RNA", at positions 1786 to 1831 of the family's 1831-position model. The record is from RNAcentral. Lineage: Eukaryota; Fungi; Basidiomycota; Agaricomycetes; Agaricales; Agrocybaceae.